RNAcentral lists this long non-coding RNA (213 nucleotides) under Cicer arietinum (chickpea). Its description in RNAcentral is "long non-coding RNA (CARI_LNC003118)". The record is from RNAcentral. Lineage: Eukaryota; Viridiplantae; Streptophyta; Magnoliopsida; Fabales; Fabaceae.
UCACUGAUCCUUCUAAUGAUAAAUGGUCUGUUGUCCUAUCGACCAAUAAAAUAAGUGAUGAUAACAAUAAUGAUGAAGAUGUUGGUAAUGAUCUUUUAUUUGCAACAUCACAACAACCACAUGAAAUUGAUUCAACUGAUGAUGGUUUAUAUCUUAGAGAUGAUCAUGAUGAGGGAAUUUGGAUUAAUCCAUUGUUUCGUAUUGUAAAUGGAC